CACGUAGGGGGCGAGCGUUGUCCGGAUUUAUUGGGCGUAAAGAGCUCGUAGGCGGUUCCGUAAGUCGUGAAGUCAAAUCUCUGGGCUCAACCCAGAAUCGCUUCCGAUACUGCGGUGACUGGAGUCCGGUAGGGGAGUGUGGAAUUCCUGGUGUAGCGGUGAAAUGCGCAGAUAUCAGGAGGAACACCAACAGCGAAGGCAGCACUCUGGGCCGGUACUGACGCUGAGGAGCGAAAGCAUGGGGAGCGAACAGG
Molecule: ribosomal RNA, 254 nt
Filed under: uncultured bacterium
Lineage: Bacteria
Description: partial 16S ribosomal RNA
Rfam family: Bacterial small subunit ribosomal RNA
Source: RNAcentral